ACAUACUUUUGCAGGUCUCCGAAGAUUGCACUGUUAUGGUCUUUCAAUUGCCUCGCCUGACAUCUGUCAGUGUUCACUUCUACCUUAGAAGUUUGAGCCUGGAACAAGAAGGCUGUGCURCCUGCCUCUCAGCAGGUGGAGCUAUGAGUCAUAGUUAAGCCUGGAGCCCUUGCAAGGUCAAAGCAAAGACUUUAACAUCUCCUUUACAAGGGGGUARGGAACUGUUUUGCCCAUUGUAGCUCUAGGGGGAAGAGCUGUCUCUGAUAAUAGGAAACUGGACUAUAUUUUGUGGCUACUCAGUCCCAGCUUAGAAACAUAUGAGGUGCUUUACACUUGCAGAUGAUGUUGGAUGAGAACAACACAGAUAUCUGGAGAUGGUUUGUUAUCUUGACUCCUUGUGGAGCUAAAGGGUCGUUCUGAUGCAGAUGGAAGAAAGUCCUCAAUCACUAGGCCUGAAAUAAUCUACCAUUUGAGGAAGCAGUGCACAGAGAGAGAUGGGCUUUUCUUCUCUCCCAAACUUUUUGUUGCUCUGCKGUAGUACUUUGAAGCUCAGGAGCAGGUAAGUUUUGUUGCUUUCCAGAGUGUUUUAUUUCUGUACCUUGGACAUACGAGCAAUGUUGUCACCUUACUGUCUCCUUGUCCACUUGUCAGGUGAAGUUAGACUGUUAGCUGAUUCUUAGCGCUUAUUAUUGAUUAGAUCAAAAUAGGGAAUAGUGCAUGGGCACAAUACACUGGUGCAGAGUUAUUGGCAAUUGUGAAAACAUUGUCAUGGCAGUAGAAGAU
Long non-coding RNA from Nothoprocta perdicaria, 783 nucleotides. RefSeq lists it as uncharacterized. Lineage: Eukaryota; Metazoa; Chordata; Aves; Tinamiformes; Tinamidae. The transcript is spliced from 2 exons. The record is from RefSeq and is a predicted model, not a curated record.